RNAcentral lists this ribosomal RNA (447 nucleotides) under uncultured bacterium. Its description in RNAcentral is "bacterial SSU rRNA". It matches the Rfam family "Bacterial small subunit ribosomal RNA", at positions 329 to 793 of the family's 1533-position model. The record is from RNAcentral.
GUCCAGACUCCUACGGGAGGCAGCAGUGGGGAAUAUUGCACAAUGGGGGAAACCCUGAUGCAGCGACGCCGCGUGAGCGAAGAAGUAUUUCGGUAUGUAAAGCUCUAUCAGCAGGGAAGAAAAUGACGGUACCUGAGUAAGAAGCUCCGGCUAAAUACGUGCCAGCAGCCGCGGUAAUACGUAUGGAGCAAGCGUUAUCCGGAUUUACUGGGUGUAAAGGGAGCGCAGGCGGUCUGGCAAGUCUGAUGUGAAAUACCGGGGCUCAACUCCGGGACUGCAUUGGAAACUGUCAGACUGGAGUGUCGGAGAGGCAGGUGGAAUUCCUGGUGUAGCGGUGAAAUGCGUAGAUAUCAGGAGGAACACCAGUGGCGAAGGCGGCCUGCUGGACGAUGACUGACGCUGAGGCUCGAAAGCGUGGGGAGCAAACAGGAUUAGAUACCCGCGUAA